This 494-nucleotide ribosomal RNA is filed under the name uncultured bacterium. RNAcentral describes it as "partial 16S ribosomal RNA". It matches the Rfam family "Bacterial small subunit ribosomal RNA", at positions 28 to 523 of the family's 1533-position model. The record is from RNAcentral.
GAUGAACGCUAGCGGCAGGCUUAACACAUGCAAGUCGAGGGGUAUAGGUUUUCGGACCUAGAGACCGGCGCACGGGUGCGUAACGCGUAUGCAAUCUACCUUGUACAGGGGGAUAGCCCAGAGAAAUUUGGAUUAAUACCCCAUAGUAUUAUAGAAUGGCAUCAUUUUAUAAUUGAAGUUCCAACGGUACAAGAUGAGCAUGCGUCCCAUUAGCUAGUUGGUAUGGUAACGGCAUACCAAGGCUACGAUGGGUAGGGGUCCUGAGAGGGAGAUCCCCCCCACUGGUACUGAGAAACGGACCAGACGCCUACGGGAGGCAGCAGUGAGGAAUAUUGGUCAAUGGACGCAAGUCUGAACCAGCCAUGCCGCGUGCAGGAUGACGGUCCUAUGGAUUGUAAACUGCUUUUGUACAGGAAGAAACACUCCUACGUGUAGGAACUUGACGGUACUGUAAGAAUAAGGAUCGGCUAACUCCGUGCCAGCCGCCGCCGUAA